CCUACGGGAGGCUGCAGUGGGGAAUAUUGCGCAAUGGGCGAAAGCCUGACGCAGCGACGCCGCGUGAGGGAUGAAGGCCUUCGGAUCGUAAACCUCUGUCAGCAGGGAAGAACGGUCACUGUGCUAAUCAGCAGUGAAUUGACGGUACCUGCAAAGGAAGCACCGGCUAACUCCGUGCCAGCAGCCGCGGUAAUACGGAGGGUGCGAGCGGUAAUCGGAAUUACUGGGCGUAAGGGGCUCGUAGGCGGUAUGUCAAGUCAAGGGUGAAAUCCCCGGGCUCAACGUGGGAACUGCCUUUGAAACUGGGAACCUGGAGUGUGUGAGAGGAUAGUGGAAUUCCAGGUGUAGGGGUGAAAUCCGUAGAUAUCUGGAGGAACAUCAGUGGCGAAGGCGACUAUCUGGCACAUAACUGACGCUGAGGAGCGAAAGCGUGGGUAGCAAACAGGAUUAGAUACCCUUGUAGUC
This 465-nucleotide ribosomal RNA is filed under the name uncultured bacterium. RNAcentral describes it as "partial 16S ribosomal RNA". It matches the Rfam family "Bacterial small subunit ribosomal RNA", at positions 338 to 795 of the family's 1533-position model. The record is from RNAcentral.